Molecule: ribosomal RNA, 1354 nt
Filed under: Escherichia coli
Lineage: Bacteria; Pseudomonadati; Pseudomonadota; Gammaproteobacteria; Enterobacterales; Enterobacteriaceae
Description: partial 23S ribosomal RNA
Rfam family: Bacterial large subunit ribosomal RNA
Source: RNAcentral
GUUAAGCGACUAAGCGUACACGGUGGAUGCCCUGGCAGUCAGAGGCGAUGAAGGACGUGCUAAUCUGCGAUAAGCGUCGGUAAGGUGAUAUGAACCGUUAUAACCGGCGAUUUCCGAAUGGGGAAACCCAGUGUGUUUCGACACACUAUCAUUAACUGAAUCCAUAGGUUAAUGAGGCGAACCGGGGGAACUGAAACAUCUAAGUACCCCGAGGAAAAGAAAUCAACCGAGAUUCCCCCAGUAGCGGCGAGCGAACGGGGAGCAGCCCAGAGCCUGAAUCAGUGUGUGUGUUAGUGGAAGCGUCUGGAAAGGCGCGCGAUACAGGGUGACAGCCCCGUACACAAAAAUGCACAUGCUGUGAGCUCGAUGAGUAGGGCGGGACACGUGGUAUCCUGUCUGAAUAUGGGGGGACCAUCCUCCAAGGCUAAAUACUCCUGACUGACCGAUAGUGAACCAGUACCGUGAGGGAAAGGCGAAAAGAACCCCGGCGAGGGGAGUGAAAAAGAACCUGAAACCGUGUACGUACAAGCAGUGGGAGCACAGAGCAAUCUGUGUGACUGCGUACCUUUUGUAUAAUGGGUCAGCGACUUAUAUUCUGUAGCAAGGUUAACCGAAUAGGGGAGCCGAAGGGAAACCGAGUCUUAACUGGGCGUUAAGUUGCAGGGUAUAGACCCGAAACCCGGUGAUCUAGCCAUGGGCAGGUUGAAGGUUGGGUAACACUAACUGGAGGACCGAACCGACUAAUGUUGAAAAAUUAGCGGAUGACUUGUGGCUGGGGGUGAAAGGCCAAUCAAACCGGGAGAUAGCUGGUUCUCCCCGAAAGCUAUUUAGGUAGCGCCUCGUGAAUUCAUCUCCGGGGGUAGAGCACUGUUUCGGCAAGGGGGUCAUCCCGACUUACCAACCCGAUGCAAACUGCGAAUACCGGAGAAUGUUAUCACGGGAGACACACGGCGGGUGCUAACGUCCGUCGUGAAGAGGGAAACAACCCAGACCGCCAGCUAAGGUCCCAAAGUCAUGGUUAAGUGGGAAACGAUGUGGGAAGGCCCAGACAGCCAGGAUGUUGGCUUAGAAGCAGCCAUCAUUUAAAGAAAGCGUAAUAGCUCACUGGUCGAGUCGGCCUGCGCGGAAGAUGUAACGGGGCUAAACCAUGCACCGAAGCUGCGGCAGCGACGCUUAUGCGUUGUUGGGUAGGGGAGCGUUCUGUAAGCCUGCGAAGGUGUGCUGUGAGGCAUGCUGGAGGUAUCAGAAGUGCGAAUGCUGACAUAAGUAACGAUAAAGCGGGUGAAAAGCCCGCUCGCCGGAAGACCAAGGGUUCCUGUCCAACGUUAAUCGGGGCAGGGUGAGUCGACCCCUA